RNAcentral lists this ribosomal RNA (4053 nucleotides) under Asparagus officinalis (garden asparagus). RNAcentral's name for it is "rRNA A4U43_28srRNA17". Lineage: Eukaryota; Viridiplantae; Streptophyta; Magnoliopsida; Asparagales; Asparagaceae. The record is from RNAcentral.
AAAAAUUUUCGAUCGUGAUUUUUUCUAAGUGUUGGGAAGCAAACCUUCCACGAUUGGGAUGACGAGUCAGGUUUAGAGGGGAGGGCACGAAUCUGUGCGCACGACCGGCGGGCAUUCAGUGGAUCGUAGAAGCAAAGGCACUCUGCCCAGCUUACAAUGCCCCGUGCCGCUAUUUUAAAGUCGUCUGCAAAGGUUUCAGCCCGCGACGGCUGGAAAUUUCGCAUCCAACGUGGGCCGCGUAGCGUUCCGCCCGCGCUGGCGUACCUUCGACAUUGUGCCAGUGGCGGAUGUUUGAACACCCCUACCGUGAGGUCGGAGGCAGUCCGGCGGGCACAGGCACCGCUUUUUAGCCGGAAUUCAUGACCUUAGCAGGCCAGUUCAGUAUAAUCCCGGCACACGGUAGCUUCGCCGCAGCUGGCUUUUCAACCAAGCGCGAUGACCAAUUGUGUGAGAUCAACGGUCCCUCUCGUACUAGGUUGAAUUACUAUCGCCGGCGCACUCAUCAGUCUAAGGGUAAACUAACCUGUCUCACGACGCGGUUAAAACCCAGACUCACGUUCCUAUGGUGGCGAUGAACAAUCCAACACUUGGUGAAUUCUGCUUCACAAUGAUAGGAAGAAGCGAAUACGAAGGCGAUCAAAAAAGCAACCGUCCGCUAUGAACGUUGGCCUGCACAAGCGAGUGUCAUGUGUAACUUUUUCUGACACUCUGCUUCAAAAAUCCGAAAAGCGUCUAAAGGAUCGAUAUGGCCACGCUUUCACGGUUAGUAUUCGUACUGGAAAAUCAGAACUCAAAACGAGCUUUUACUUUUGUUCACACCGAGAUUUCUGUUCUUCGUUGAGCUAUCUUAGCGACAGCCUGCGUUAUACUUUUAACAGUAUGUGACCGCCCCAAGCCAACUCCCACCUGACAUAUGUGUUCCGCCCGGAUGCGGCCGGGAUCGAGCCUUGGAGCCAAAAGGAGGGGCUAAGCCCGCCUCCGUCUCACGAAUAAGUUAAAAUAACUGUUAAAGAGUGAGUAUUUCACUUUCGCCGGCAAGCGCGUCCCACUUCUCCUAACUCCUCUCAAGUCAUUAUCACAAGUCGGACUAGAGUCAAGCUCAAUCAGGGUCUUCUUCCCGCUGAUUGGUACCAAGCCCGUUCCCUUUGGCUGUGGUUUCGCUGAGCAUAGGUAGACAGGGACAAUGCGGAAUCUCGUUUAAUCCAUUCAUUAUGCGCACAAUUAGAUAGCACGGAGGCAUGUGGCUUACCUAAGAGAGUAUAGUUACUCCCGCCGAGUUUACCCGCGCGUGGUUGAAUUUAUUCACUUUCGAAUUUCAGCAGCACUGGGCCAGAAAUCACCAUUGCGGAAGCAUCCGCAGGGACCAUGCAAUGCACUUUGUUUUAGAUUAAACCAGAUCGCAUUCCCUUGCCCGUAACCAGUUCUGAGUCCGCGACUUUCGACGCCCGGGAAGGCCCCCCGUUUGAGGAAGGGCCGUUCCAGUCCCGUCCCCGGCCGGCAACGCGGCCGACCGCUCUCGCACGGUGCGGCUCGAGCAGUCCGCCGACAGACCGGCGGCAUCGGGGCUGGGACCCCAUGCCCAGCCCUCAGAGACCAAUCCUAUUUCCCGAAGUUCGGAUCCGUUUCUGCCGAUCCUUGCCUACAUUGUCCAUUUGGCACAGAGGCCUAGUUCACCUUGGCCAGACCUAUGCGGUUAUGAGGUUCGACCGGGCGUGAGCGGCACUCGGUACCUCCGGAUCUUUCAAGGGCCGCCGGGCCGCACCGGACACCAGCGCGACGUGCGGUCUCUUCGAGCGCUGGACCCUACUCGCGCUGAGCGUUCUCCAGGCGUGGGGCGGGCGAUUAAGCAGAAAAGAAUAACUCUUCCGAGGCCCCCCGCAGCGUCUCCGGACUCCCUACGUUGCCGUCGCCGCCACGUCCCGGUCCGGAUUUGUCCGCGAUUCCUUCGAGCCAGCUCGCGCCGGUGACGCCGCUUUUGAGGGCUUCCCCCGCCUUAGAGAUCGGCUUAACCCGUAUGGUGCAAGAUAGCCGUUUCACAUGACCUUUCCCCUCUUCGGCCUUCAAAAGUUCCUAUUUAAUUAUUUGCUUAACGUUCACCACCAAAGCAUCGCGCCCGACGGCCGCGUCCACCGGCCAGCUCGCCGCCACCAGCGUUUUUUGCGGCAGGCUCGCCCGCGCCCUCCUAUCCAUCGAGGCUGAACGAUCGGCCCGAUGCCGGGUGUGGGUCGCUGACCGCUUAAGCGGCCAUCCAUUUUCGGGGUAGUGAUCUCGCAGUGUAGUAUUGUUACACACUCAACCUUAGACCGAAGAUUUGUCGACUUCCAUGACCAACGUCCUUGCUGUGCUUAAUCGACCAACACCCUUGGUGGCGACUAUUAGAGUUACGCCGCAGUUGGCCAACCGUAACCCGGCUUACCGGUUCAUCCCGACUCGCCAGUUUGCUUACAAAAAUGGCCCACUGGAGCCUCUCGAUUCCGUGGGCGCGCUGAAUCAAAAGCCAGCCGCCGUCCUACAUAUUUAAGUUUGAGGAAAUAGCGUCGGAGGGCGCGUUGCGACCCCGACUGCCUCUAAUCAUGGCCUGUUACCGAUAGACUCGCCGACGAAGCUCCAGCUAUCCUGAGGGAAAACUUCGGAGGACCAGCUACGAGGUUCGAUUAGUACUUUCGCCCUUACCAAGUCAGAACGAACAUCAUUGCACGUCAGUAUCGCUGCGGGCCCUCCACCAGAGUUUCUCUGGCUUCGCCCCGCUCAGCAUUAGUUUCACCAUCUUUCGGGGUCCGACAGGCAUUGCUCCACUCACCCUUCACAGUAAGAUCUGGGGUCGGUCCGGCGGCUGCACCCCGCGCAGGGCGAUCCGCCACAUCAGCUUCUUGCCGCCUUCCGGUGUUUCCAAACGCCCGUUGGCUAGAGCCUGUCAGACUCCAUUGUCCGAUGUUUCCAAGACGGGUCGAUGGGAGAGCCGAGCGGCAGGUUGCCAAGAGGCGCGCAUGUGCCCGAGGCACGCCGAGACCAGCAGCGCGCGCUGCCAUCCUUCGCGCGCCGGCAGAACGUGUCCACGGCGGGGAUCUACCGGCCGCCUGGGCUUAGGCCGCCGGGUGCGGCGCGCCAACGGUCCAACGCACCGGCGAGCGACGGGACCAGCCCGUAAAAAGGGGUCGUUACGAUCCGGCGGGCGCAUCGCGCCCCAUCGUUUCCUCCGAAUUUCAGAGCACUCUUUGACUCUCUUUUUCAAGUCCUUUUCAUUUUCCCUAGCCAGGUUAAUUGUAUCGCUAGUCGGCUCUUUUCGCGGCUAUUUAGCCUUGGAACGGAAAUUUUAUCCGCUCCCAAUUUUGGGGCUGCAUUGCCCAAACACCCGGACUCGCCAACCAGCGCCUCGUGGUGCGGCAGGGUCCGCGACCGACGGGCUCUCACCCUCCCUGGCCGCCCCUUUCCCCCAAGAGGGACUUGGGCCCGGAUCCGUCGCUGAGACGCUUCUCCAGACUACAAAUUCGAGGUGGCCGGGCCGCGCCGAUCCCCAAAGCUGGCUAUUCCCGGUCGCUCGCUUACUAGGCGGUCCUUUAUAAGUUGCUUACUCCUCCGCUUAUGAAUAUGCCUUAAAUCUCAGCGCGGUGGCGCCCGCCUGACCUGGGGGUCGUGGAUCCGACGGCGUUCUUGAAGCCCGUCGCGCAUGGGCUCCUUGCACGCGGCCGCAUUUAGCUUAGGAUCGAUACACAGCGAUUCAGCGUCAAUUUGUGUCUGUCACCAUUCGCCGUGUCCGACCCGACCACCCGACAUCAUUUCAACCGCCCGCGCGCCAUGACGGAAGGCUCAAUUCCUCCGCUCCGGCCCGCCCGCCUUCCAAUGCUAUUGCCUGCGCAGGCGGGGGCUACUGAGCGAUGUUGAGGCAUGCACGCCCAGGAGGCAGGCUGUUGCCUCGCAAAGUAGCCCUCGGCGCCAAACUUGCGCAUUGCAAAGACUCGAUGGUUCACGGGCAUUCUGCAAUUCACACAAGGACUUCGCAUUUCGCUACGUUUCUUCAUCGAUGCGAGAGCCAAGAUAUCCGUGCCAAGAGCG